Molecule: long non-coding RNA, 913 nt
Organism: Cyprinus carpio carpio
Lineage: Eukaryota; Metazoa; Chordata; Actinopteri; Cypriniformes; Cyprinidae
Source: Ensembl
GUCACGGCUCCUACUGGCGUAAACACCAGAAAGAGUCUCUGAAAAUGCACAAACACAGAUAAUCACAGUGAUACAAACAGUGACAACUGACAUUAUUUCGCGGAUACAAUCAUAUUUUACUCUCAUCACAUUCAAUUUGAACUGCAAAGUUGUUGUGCCGUGCAUCUUCCGCAAGGGCGCGCCCUCGGUGACAGCAGCACAUGAAAAACUGCCAUAGAGCAAAAAGAUCGAUCUUCGGAGAUUGAGAUAAUCGCUAUGAACAAAACGGAGUCGUUUUAAAAACAUUUUAUUGUAAAAAUAGACAUUUUAACCAGACGUGCGGCUUUAUAAUGCAUGCAAGAAGACAAACUUCAAGUGGAAAUGUAGUCUACUUACAGAUUAAGGGAGGUGUUUGAACCGUGACAUCUACAGUAGCCAACAGAAACAGAGUGCUGGGACAUGAGGUCAGACAUUGACUGUAAUGAUGGACAUCUGCUGAUGCACAGACAGAAGUAUAACCCCUGCUGGACAUUGUGCUGGAACUCGGGGAGGACACCAUGAUCCCCCACACCUUCUCACUCACACCAGACCAUUCACUCAUAUCACGGAGAUCUGGCUGGACUUGAACCAGCAACCUCUGAAACCAUGAGGCAGCGCUCUUACCUCUGAGCCACAGAUCUCAUGUAUGAACAUGUGCAGGAACUUAUAUUUCACUAUUCAGCUGUAUCAGACUUGGGAUUUUACAAUAAAUCAAUUAAAGUUACACACAGGAUUGAACCUGUAACUCCACUGCAACCAUGUCCUCAACUGUGUAAACGUGUGUCUAGCCACUGCACCAUCAUGGCUUUCACACUGAGCAGUGGCAUUUGUGGCACUUUGUUGGAUAUAAAGACAACAGUUUAAUAUAUGCAAGAGUGGGAUUUGAACUCACACU